Molecule: ribosomal RNA, 453 nt
Filed under: uncultured Prevotella sp.
Lineage: Bacteria; Pseudomonadati; Bacteroidota; Bacteroidia; Bacteroidales; Prevotellaceae
Description: partial 16S ribosomal RNA
Rfam family: Bacterial small subunit ribosomal RNA
Source: RNAcentral
CGGAAGGCAGCAGUGAGGAAUAUUGGUCAAUGGACGAGAGUCUGAACCAGCCAAGUAGCGUGCAGGAUGACGGCCCUAUGGGGUGUAAACUGCUUUUGUACGGGAAUAAAGUGACCUACGUGUAGGUUUUUGCAUGUACCGUAAGAAUAGGGACCGGCUAAUUCCGUGCCAGCCGCCGCGGUAAUACGGAAGGUCCGGGCGUUAUCCGGAUUUAUUGGGUUUAAAGGGAGCGUAGGCCGUGCUUUAAGCGUGUUGUGAAAUGUAGGCGCCCAACGUCUGCACUGCAGCGCGAACUGGAGCACUUGAGUACGCAGGAAGUAGGCGGAAUUCGUCGUGUAGCGGUGAAAUGCUUAGAUAUGACGAAGAACUCCGAUUGGGAAGCCAGCUUACUGUAGCGCCACUGACGCUGAUGCUCGAAAGCGUGGGUAUCGAACAGGAUUAGAUACCCUGGUA